GCAAACGUGAUGUAGUGGUUUGAAUGUUGGACUAUGCCUCUGGAGAUCAGGGUUCGAUUCCCUGCUUGAGCA
Non-coding RNA from Phrynosoma platyrhinos (Desert horned lizard), 72 nucleotides. The record is from the annotation of a GenBank genome assembly. Lineage: Eukaryota; Metazoa; Chordata; Lepidosauria; Squamata; Phrynosomatidae.